CCUUUUUUGUUUUAUAAAAAAAGAAAAUAAUCUCCGGCGGAGUUUUCCGUUUCCGGCUCCAUAUUCGAAUCCUCUAAGGCUUGUGCAAGUGAGUUGACUCGGACGAACUGAGAGCGUCAGAGAUUCUACCGCAAAUGCAAGACUGAAACUUUUUCAAAGUUUAGACAGUAGCUGUUUACCAUUGGACAAGUCCACAAAUACAAUGGUGGAUUCGGAGCAAAGGUUGAGUGGAUAAUCUAUUCCGGAUUCUUGUUUAUAUGCCAUCAAUCUUGAAUAUAUAUGCUGAUUGCUGAGGUUAAAAUUCAAGGGCUUUUUUUGUGUGUGUGUGUGGAAAGGCUAUGCAUUAUUCUGCUUGCCAAUACUAAACAUUUAAAUACAAAUAGUGUAUUAAGACAACCUUAAUGGAAGAAGAGUGUUCGCUUGGAUUUAAUGAUUAUUAAAUUGUCUUGAUAUUUCUUUUAUCAGUUCCCCUCAUUGCUGUGUCUAUGGAUCAUUAUACUACGAAGCUAUGGCACCAGACAGUCAAAGAGAUUCCUUCCCGAACCACUCGUGUAGUCUUCUUCCUGCCUCCCAGUUAGACCCUAUCUCGCUUUCCAAGUCUCAUUUGAAUGAGGCGCCGCCGCUACUAAAUGCAACUCUCAUUUCAACAUUCUUUCUUCUCUAUUGGAAUUCCUUCUCUAUCUGCCUAGAGAACCUCUCUUUCUACACCAUGUGAACUUGACUCCUGAACACAGCCAUUCCUCACCACUCUUCAACAUGGCAGCAAGGUCUCUGUCACUGGCAGCACUCACACGACCACUUUGAAAGCUUUCAUACAUCAUUCUAGGGUCAUGGAGUUGAUUAUUCUCUUGAGAAAGAAUUACACAAAUAUUUUUAAUGAUCACAAAAAUAUAGUUCUCUCUCAACAUUUUCAGAACGCGAUAACUCCCUCAUUGUAAGUAUGAUAUCAUCACUUCCUUAAUUCAUUUAGUAAGGGAUUCUUCUGCAGGUGAUUAGGUUCCUUACUAAAUUGCCUUGCUUAUUAAUUCUUCACUUGCUAUCAAUGUAUAUUUUCCUUGAACAACUUCAAUACUGGAUUCCUUCAGUUAGUAUUGCAACUUUCUCUUGCACUAGCUAGCCUCCCAACCUAGGCUUGAUUAUUUGUUCAGCACCUUAUUCAUCUGUUUGCUAAUGAUAAAUCUAUCUGAGAAAUCCAAAAAGGUGAGGACAAUUGGGUAAAACCUAUCAGAAUGAUUCUUCAGCUGAUUGAAGUCACUUUGGAUUGGAUGGAUCAAACUAUGGUUUGGACAAAUGAGAAGCAAAUGCAACUCUUAUCUUGAUUUCUUAGAAGCAUUAUUUCUUAAGCAGUGGCAUAGUUCUACGAAUUUGCAUGGUUCUCACUGAGAAGAGAAAACGUGGGAGCCUUGUGCAACCCCACAACUUCCAGCAAAAGGUCAUAGAUUUUCCCAUCAGAUUUUCGUUCUACAAGAUGACUGCAGACCGAAAGAUAAACUAUCAGAGUAAUGACCCUUUGUUCGGCAGCACCCGCUGAUUCUUGUGAUAUCAUGGGAUGUUCACGGUUACAUCACUUACACCUGCAGGCAAAAGCAGCUCAACUACAUUUCCUCUUCCGAGAGAAAUUGUGGUGCCCAAUGAUGGAAUCUACAUCUACUCAAGAAGUAAUACAACUCACAAAUCAGCAAGUAGUUCAGGGCAGCAUCCCAUAUAUCAGUUCUGCAAUCACAGCUUGGGUAGCUGUACUGCUGAGGUGUUAGAUCAGAACUUGGUGGAUGAAGACCAAGGAAAAAAGACCAGCAAUAUCCGGUGCAAAAAGCUUGAAGAUGAUGGCAGUUCUCGAUGCUUCGAGCCACGGUCAAGUAAAACUUUAACUUUUUGCCUGCCACUUCAUUUUAUGUAAAAAAAUUGUGAAAAGUGGGUACAAUAGACAACUCAAUCUUCAAUAAAACAUAUGCAAAAGGAGAGAAGAAGAAACUGGUGUGGAAGGGAUGCUGCCCUGAGAGCUCUGUCUACUCAUACAUGUUGCCCGGUAUAGCCGUUCACAAUCGCAAUUGCCUAAAAUAAACUCUUCGAGCCAGUUCUUUCGUUUGGCUUCAAAAGCACUCUUUAGAAGUAUUUUGCCAGUUUUGAAUGGCAAAAACUCUUGUUUAGCAUUGUUUUUGCUGCAAAAACAAUUACUUUUGAACAGUCAAAAGCAAUGCUAAAUACGGACACUCCCUCAUACUUUGAUCCCUACUAACCCUUCAGAUAUUCCACUAAACAGGGCCAAAGUAAAAGGCUGUUUAGGUUUUUCUUUUAUACAACUCUUAUUACUAUCAAUAACUUUUCUAAACUCUUAACUUGGAAGAAAAAUGCAGUUCAGUGCGCGCAAGUGAUGGCCGUAACUAAGUUAUUGAGCGUUAAGGCUCAAUCGAUUGUUCAGCUUAGCUUAGCAAUUUUAACCCUUCUCACAUAAGUCCUUUUCUUCCUCUACCUUAACUUCUUUUUUCAUCCAAAAACAAUUCUUGCAGUUCCAAACUCUUAUAGUAUUCUUUGUUUCAACUUGUGGAACAACAUCUAUCCCAGUUGUUUUCCUUUUCUAUUGGUUUCCUUGCCUCAAGCAUUGCCAUCUACUUUCAUCUUCCACCCCUAAAAAUAUGCUGUUGAUAUCGCCAGCAUCGAUGGAGGUGAAUGCCGGAAGUUUAGACCCUGGUCCAAGAGUGGAUCAAGAGCAAUGUUGUUGGAAUUGGUCACUUGGGCUAGGGAUCGACUGGUUUGCUGGUUGAUAUUAGAUUGGGUUUUGAGCAGUCAGGCUGGGAAUUGAUCGGCGUGUCGGGCUGAGAGUCGACUGGUGUGCCGGUUGAUAUUAGAUUGGGUUUUGAGCAAACCGCUAGAAAUCGCCAUUGAAUCAUCAAAAAACCAAUUGAACAACUUUUUUAAAUAUUUUUCCAACUUAUUAGUCCAAAAAUCCAGCAUAAAACCAAAAAUUGGGUUGGAUUUUACCGCUUUUGUGUUAAUCAAUUUUAUAGAAUUUUCCCCUAUUUUUAUGAGUUCUUUUAAAAAAAUUUAGAUCAAACAGUUUAGUUAAUUACCGAUCUUUUUCUUAUUCUUAAAAUGUUUAGGGAAGUAAUCGCCUUCGAUAAAAUUUGAACAUCGAGAUAAUAACUCUCGUUGGGUCAAGUUUUGUGAAUGAAAGAAAAUAAUAUUAGUAGAUUUAAGGGUUUGAACUAAUCCGAUUUUAAGUAUAGAUAAAAACUUCCCAUAAAGAUGGAAGGAAGGAUUGAAGUUAGAAAGGUUGAUAUCAUGAAAAUGUAAUUAAAGAAAGAGUCAUUGCAUGUCACAGGUUUCGAAAAGAGCUAAUGAACCAUUCAUCAUAUGGGAAUAUUUGGCAAGAUUCGAAUCUUGGUAGACCUUGAUUGUUGGGAAAGUUUUCAAAGGGUUAAAGUAAAAGUAUUUGGAGUAUUUGUGGUGAGAGUUGAAUUGUAAUAUCUUCAUUUACUAAAAUAAUCUGACAAAUUGGUAUUUAUACAUUAGAUCAAAUAGGAAGUUAGUAUUUUGUUAAAAAAUCUUUCGUUUUUAUUAUUGAAAAUUAGUUCUUGUAUAUUAAUAUGUUGCAUGUAAUUGUCUUAUCGAUCUA
This is a long non-coding RNA of Gossypium raimondii (Peruvian cotton), 3613 nucleotides long. RefSeq lists it as uncharacterized. The transcript is spliced from 6 exons. Lineage: Eukaryota; Viridiplantae; Streptophyta; Magnoliopsida; Malvales; Malvaceae. The record is from RefSeq and is a predicted model, not a curated record.